Molecule: long non-coding RNA, 318 nt
Filed under: Physcomitrium patens
Lineage: Eukaryota; Viridiplantae; Streptophyta; Bryopsida; Funariales; Funariaceae
Description: long non-coding RNA (PPAT_LNC014966)
Source: RNAcentral
AGCUAUAUCUUGAGCAAUUUGACAAGGUUUUGGCUCGAAAUUUCAAGGAAUGUGUAAUUUUAUGUUAGUAAACUUUGUGCAUAAUUUUUAUGACAUUUGGAGUUCGGGUUUUUGAGAUAUAAGGAAAAUAGUUUUUCGGGUGCUUGUAAAUUAGGAUUUGGAGUGUCUGCUAGGAUUUCUUAGAUGCGAGAAGAUCAGGAGUGAAUUUGCAGUUGAUUUUUUUUGUGGUAAAAUUUGAAGUUAAAUUAAAUCUAUCUUGUAAAUUUGAAACAAACUAAAUAGUUAGAUAUAUAGUUAUGAUUUUUUUAAGUUCAGAGG